RNAcentral lists this ribosomal RNA (497 nucleotides) under uncultured bacterium. RNAcentral describes it as "partial 16S ribosomal RNA". It matches the Rfam family "Bacterial small subunit ribosomal RNA", at positions 899 to 1397 of the family's 1533-position model. The record is from RNAcentral.
ACUCAAAUGAAUUGACGGGGGCCCGCACAAGCAGCGGAGCAUGUGGUUUAAUUCGACGCAACGCGAAGAACCUUACCUGGGCUUGACAUGUGAGUGACAGGUGUGGAAACACACUCUCCCUUCGGGGCACUCUCACAGGUGGUGCAUGGCUGUCGUCAGCUCGUGUCGUGAGAUGUUGGGUUAAGUCCCGCAACGAGCGCAACCCCCGUCGCAUGUUGCCAGCAUUAAGUUGGGGACUCAUGCGAGACUGCCGGUGACAAACCGGAGGAAGGUGGGGAUGACGUCAAGUCAUCAUGCCCCUUAUGUCCAGGGCUACACACGUGCUACAUUGGCGCAUACAAAGGGCUGCGAUACCGCGAGGUGGAGCGAAUCCCAAAAAGUGCGUCUCGGUUCGGAUUGGAGGCUGAAACUCGCCUCCAUGAAGGCGGAGUUGCUAGUAAUCCCGGAUCAGCAACGCCGGGGUGAAUACGUUCCCGGGCCUUGUACACACCGCCCGU